CCUACGGGAGGCAGCAGUGAGGAAUAUUGGUCAAUGGGCGGAAGCCUGAACCAGCCAAGUAGCGUGCGGGAUGAAGGCCCUACGGGUCGUAAACCGCUUUUGCACGAGGAUAACACCCUCCACUUGUGGAGGUCUGCAGGUACCGUGCGAAUAAGGGCCGGCUAAUUCCGUGCCAGCAGCCGCGGUAAUACGGAGGGCCCGAGCGUUAUCCGGUUUCAUUGGGCUUAAAGGGAGCGUAGGCGGGCGUUCAAGUCAGCGGGAAAAUCCCGAGCCUAAACCGCGCCCCGCCGUUGAAACUGGACGCCUUGAGUUCACAACAGGCAGGCGGAAUUCGUGGUGUAGCGGUGAAAUGCAUAGAGAACACGAGGAACCCCGAUUGCGAAGGCAGCCUGCCGGGGUGCGACUGACGUUGAGGCUCGAAGGUGCGGGUAUCAAACAGGAUUAGAUACCCGGGUAGUC
RNAcentral lists this ribosomal RNA (459 nucleotides) under uncultured bacterium. RNAcentral describes it as "partial 16S ribosomal RNA". It matches the Rfam family "Bacterial small subunit ribosomal RNA", at positions 338 to 795 of the family's 1533-position model. The record is from RNAcentral.